This 278-nucleotide ribosomal RNA is filed under the name uncultured soil bacterium. RNAcentral's name for it is "partial 16S ribosomal RNA". It matches the Rfam family "Bacterial small subunit ribosomal RNA", at positions 26 to 290 of the family's 1533-position model. The record is from RNAcentral.
AGAAUCAACGCUGGCGGCGUGCCUAACACAUGCAAGUCGAGCGCGAAAGGGGAGCAAUCCCCGAGUAGAGCGGCGAACGGGUGAGUAACGCGUGGGUAAUCUACCUCCGAGUGGGGAACAACAGCGGGAAACUGCUGCUAAUACCGCAUGACAUCGUCGAGCCUUCGGGCCUGACGAUCAAAGCCGGGGACCGCAAGGCCUGGCGCUUGGAGAGGAGCCCGCGUCCGAUUAGCUAGUUGGCGGGGUAAUGGCCCACCAAGGCUCCGAUCGGUAGCCGG